AAUUAUCCAAUAAAUAUAUAUAUAAUAUUCAAAAUGUACACAUAAAUUAACAAAGUACAAUAAUAAAAUCCUAAUACAAGAGUAUUGUGGUGGUAGUGGCGGAUGAUAUGUUUUGAUAGCUUCCUAAUCCUCAACUUUAGCCAUCAAAGUCUUGAUGAUUACCUACAAAAAAAACAAAUAUGGUCAAAUAACAAAAAAAAGAAAAAAAAAGAAUGCAUAAUCUCCCCUAAAAUUGUUAUACCACAAAUCCAACCCAAACUCCAAUCUCUCCCCUUUACUCAACCCCAAACCCCAC
RNAcentral lists this long non-coding RNA (295 nucleotides) under Prunus persica (peach). RNAcentral's name for it is "long non-coding RNA (PPER_LNC001096)". Lineage: Eukaryota; Viridiplantae; Streptophyta; Magnoliopsida; Rosales; Rosaceae. The record is from RNAcentral.